AUAAUGACUCAAAACUCAAAACGUUCUUCCACAGCUGACGCCAAACUCGCCAGCGGCGCCUAUCGUCACCAACCGCCGUCCAUUGUACAACCAUCAACGUGCCGCUUUACACGACCCGAUUCUAAAGGGAGAAACCCUAGUCGCCAUAGUUCUUUUCUUAUGUUUUCUUUUGACUUGUGCCGCCCACACCCUUGCUUUUGUAUUGGUUUGUCGCAGCCGAUCGCCACCGUCCGCCGAUUUAUUCCUCACAAGGCUAAGGUUCAAGUUUCUGUAGGGUGUUUGGUUCCGUGAGGUGAAAAGGAAAAAAGAAAAAAGGUUUUGCUCUAUACCCAAUUUUGCAUUUUUCUUUUUGUUUUGAUUUUUUAACGAGGUGGGUAAUGAUAGGAAUGUUAUUAGAAUAGAAUUAGUGUAUUAGGGUUUGUUGUUAAUUAUGUAAGAAGUUUUUUUUGGGGGAGAGUUUUUCUAUAAAUAGAGUGGGCUAGAAGGAUAUGGAGUGAGGCAUUUGGUGAGUGAAUUGGUGAUUUAGUGAAUGAAUUAGGGCUUGAGGAGUAUCUCAAAAGGGGUUCAGCACCUCUAAUAGUUUCUUUUUAUCUCUACAUUUCAAUACAUUCUGGUUCUGUUUUGGAUUCUGUCAGAGGUAUCAAAUGUAUCUAGUACUUGUACAAGUCUCCCAUUAACGAAAUGUUAUAUGUUUCGUAGGAAAAGAAAGGACUGAUAGAGUUUUUGCUUGUCUGUUGUGAAAUUUCCUAUUUUGUUUCUGAAGAUUGGUCCUUAAUUGGAUUGGAACCUCUCCAAAAAGUUUAGAUAAUUCCAUUUGAGAUCAUUCUCUCAAAAAAGUGAGGAUUGAAGUGUAAGUUAUUGCAUUUGAGAUCAUUCUCAAACAGGCCUAGCUUGGUUGCUAUUCCGAGUUCUGAGACACUACGAAACUAAAAUGCUAGGCAUUUCAUAUGGAGAACUCCUCCUCCUUAUUGGGGCUACUGCUGCCCUCAUUGAUUAUUAUGAAAAGGGCCAAAGGAUCUCCCAUUGAUAUCAAGAAUGGCAGGAAGGAUGGCUGGCAGAGCAAUUGGAUAUGUUCAGUUAGCUCGAGGUCAGUUUGACUCUGUGAUGGAACAAACCCAUGCUCGCCAGGUUCACAAGGAAUUGCAAGACACGUUGGCUCAACUUGAUGCUAUUCGCCAUGAAAUUCGAAGCAUUUCGAUCUUGAAUCCUGGGCCAUUGACUCAAAGGCUUGUUGACAACCCUGAGCUCAAAGCAGCUGCUAGUGGUGUAACUAGUAAUUCAGCAGAAGAAAAACCUACCGUGGAGACUACACCAGUUGCUGAGAAAACUGCAGCAGUAGCUAGCAUCCUCAAGGUUGCAACUUCACAAAUAUCAAAUGAGCACAGCCGAGCAACUACGUUUGCCAGGUUGGCUGAAUCACCGAACAUAAAGAAUGGAUCCUCUGCCUCGUUGCCAAUUACUACAGAUGUAGAAAAGCUGAAUGACGAGUUUGGACUUCCCGUCUUACCUGUGUCGGCUGAAAAUACUGGGUUGUUACCUAAGCGCCCGGAGGAGUUUAAAGGGUCUGACAUAAUGUUAGAAGCAGUAUUGGAAGCAGAGGUUGCUCAUAAUGCAAAAGAAUUUUUCUCAUCUCAGCAAAGUCAAAUGAAACAGGAACAAGAAUGAAAAUUUCAUGAACAUCAUUUUGGUGCAUCAUAGAAUUGAUGAUUGGCUUAUAAAUGAAGUUCAGAAGGUUCAAAAAGCGUACCCCACCUCAGCUUUUGGUUUGAUCAUUCUCAAAGGAAUUUAACGCAUUCACAUUAAACUUAAGAAGGCUUUGGAAACUCAUGAAAUAAGUCCGAGUUGAUAUUUUUGAGUUUGAUAUUUUUCAGCUUUUAAUGUUAUAUGUUUAAUCCCGAAUAGGCAGUUGUUCUUCGAAGAUUAGUUAAAACUGCAACUAUGCUUAUUUGAAUCUUUGAAUGAGUAGAAUAGACAUAGAUUUCUAUUAGUGUAAAAUUUCUACGAAAUUCGAGUUAUUGAUAUAAUCUGAAAUUUGUAAAUAUUAUAUGAUUAUAUAUGAUUUUUUUUGUUUUUCGAAGAGUUA
Molecule: RNA transcript, 2083 nt
Organism: Cucumis melo (muskmelon)
Lineage: Eukaryota; Viridiplantae; Streptophyta; Magnoliopsida; Cucurbitales; Cucurbitaceae
Exons: 7
Source: RefSeq, a predicted model, not a curated record